RNAcentral lists this ribosomal RNA (468 nucleotides) under uncultured bacterium. Its description in RNAcentral is "partial 16S ribosomal RNA". It matches the Rfam family "Bacterial small subunit ribosomal RNA", at positions 28 to 507 of the family's 1533-position model. The record is from RNAcentral.
GACGAACGCUGGCGGCGUGCUUAACACAUGCAAGUCGAACGGAAAGGCCCUGCUUUUGUGGGGUGCUCGAGUGGCGAACGGGUGAGUAACACGUGAGUAACCUGCCCUUGACUUUGGGAUAACUUCAGGAAACUGGGGCUAAUACCGGAUAGGAGCUCCUGCUGCAUGGUGGGGGUUGGAAAGUUUCGGCGGUUGGGUGUGGACUCGCGGCUUAUCAGCUUGUUGGUGGGGUAGUGGCUUACCAAGGCUUUGACGGGUAGCCGGCCUGAGAGGGUGACCGGCCACAUUGGGACUGAGAUACGGCCCAGACUCCUACGGGAGGCAGCAGUGGGGAAUAUUGCACAAUGGGCGGAAGCCUGAUGCAGCAACGCCGCGUGCGGGAUGACGGCCUUCGGGUUGUAAACCGCUUUCGCCUGUGACGAAGCGUGAGUGACGGUAAUGGGUAAAGAAGCACCGGCUAACUACGUG